RNAcentral lists this ribosomal RNA (465 nucleotides) under Vreelandella stevensii. RNAcentral's name for it is "partial 16S ribosomal RNA". It matches the Rfam family "Bacterial small subunit ribosomal RNA", at positions 338 to 795 of the family's 1533-position model. The record is from RNAcentral. Lineage: Bacteria; Pseudomonadati; Pseudomonadota; Gammaproteobacteria; Oceanospirillales; Halomonadaceae.
CCUACGGGAGGCAGCAGUGGGGAAUAUUGGACAAUGGGGGCAACCCUGAUCCAGCCAUGCCGCGUGUGUGAAGAAGGCCCUCGGGUUGUAAAGCACUUUCAGUGAGGAAGAACGCCUGGUGGUUAAUACCCAUCAGGAAAGACAUCACUCACAGAAGAAGCACCGGCUAACUCCGUGCCAGCAGCCGCGGUAAUACGGAGGGUGCGAGCGUUAAUCGGAAUUACUGGGCGUAAAGCGCGCGUAGGUGGCUUGAUAAGCCGGUUGUGAAAGCCCCGGGCUCAACCUGGGAACGGCAUCCGGAACUGUCAAGCUAGAGUGCAGGAGAGGAAGGUAGAAUUCCCGGUGUAGCGGUGAAAUGCGUAGAGAUCGGGAGGAAUACCAGUGGCGAAGGCGGCCUUCUGGACUGACACUGCCACUGAGGUGCGAAAGCGUGGGUAGCAAACAGGAUUAGAUACCCCUGUAGUC